CAGGAAAUGCUCGACAUCAAGCACCAGCUCAGUUAGAACAAAGCGCUCAAGAACUAGAGACACCAAGUUCAGUUCUUCCUUAAAACAGAACAGGGCAAGGCAAAAAGGAGUUUAUGGGAACGAGUUUCGACCGCGGAAAUCCCUACCCGGCUCGGAGAAGGCGGUCAUAGGGAGAGCUCAAGACCAGUCGAGCUAUGGCCGACCGCUUCGCGAUGUCUCCGAGCCGAGUUCCUCG
Molecule: long non-coding RNA, 235 nt
Filed under: Eucalyptus grandis
Lineage: Eukaryota; Viridiplantae; Streptophyta; Magnoliopsida; Myrtales; Myrtaceae
Description: long non-coding RNA (EGRA_LNC001824)
Source: RNAcentral